UACGUAGGUGGCAAGCGUUAUCCGGAAUUAUUGGGCGUAAAGCGCGCGUAGGCGGUUUUUUAAGUCUGAUGUGAAAGCCCACGGCUCAACCGUGGAGGGUCAUUGGAAACUGGAAAACUUGAGUGCAGAAGAGGAAAGUGGAAUUCCAUGUGUAGCGGUGAAAUGCGCAGAGAUAUGGAGGAACACCAGUGGCGAAGGCGACUUUCUGGUCUGUNAACUGACGCUGAUGUGCGAAAGCGUGGGGAUCAAACAGGAUUAGAU
RNAcentral lists this ribosomal RNA (261 nucleotides) under uncultured Staphylococcus sp. Its description in RNAcentral is "partial 16S ribosomal RNA". It matches the Rfam family "Bacterial small subunit ribosomal RNA", at positions 524 to 783 of the family's 1533-position model. The record is from RNAcentral. Lineage: Bacteria; Bacillati; Bacillota; Bacilli; Caryophanales; Staphylococcaceae.